AAAAAAGUAGAAAGAUGAAGGUUUCUGGUGCUAACAAUAAGAUCCUGCCACUUCUGGUUUUUGUGCUGGUAGUGACAGGUUUAGUGGAGCAAGGGAAAGGGCAUGCUUGUCCAAAUACUUUCUUCUCAGCACUUGUUCAAAUGAUACCUUGCAGGGCAGCAGUUGCUCCCUAUAGCCCAAUUCCACCAAGUGACGCUUGUUGCAAUGCUGUAAAAUCUCUUGGCCAACCUUGCCUUUGUGUGCUUGUAAAUGGCCCUCCAAUUUCUGGUGUUGAUAGGAACAUGGCCUUGCAGCUGCCUGACAAGUGCACUGCCAACUUUGAACCAUGUCAAAUUACGAAGAAGUAGGUGCACAGAGCUGCCUGAGUUAAUUUCUAUGGAGAGUAGUAAUGAUGCUAGUAAUAAGAGGAUCAAAGUUAAAAUUAUAUAUAUACUGAAACCACUGGUUUUAGCCUUAGAUUUGUUUUUUU
Molecule: unclassified non-coding RNA, 469 nt
Filed under: Hevea brasiliensis (rubber tree)
Lineage: Eukaryota; Viridiplantae; Streptophyta; Magnoliopsida; Malpighiales; Euphorbiaceae
Source: RNAcentral